Molecule: long non-coding RNA, 100 nt
Organism: Nanorana parkeri
Lineage: Eukaryota; Metazoa; Chordata; Amphibia; Anura; Dicroglossidae
Exons: 3
Source: RefSeq, a predicted model, not a curated record
AAACACAAAAUGCACAGCUCACCCCUGUCAUGCAUCCGUGCAAUCCACAUUUGGUGCAUGGAUAACCCUCUUCUGGAGUAAUUGGUUCAAAAACAGAAGG